RNAcentral lists this long non-coding RNA (460 nucleotides) under Homo sapiens (human). RNAcentral's name for it is "non-protein coding lnc-FAM71A-2:1". Lineage: Eukaryota; Metazoa; Chordata; Mammalia; Primates; Hominidae. The record is from RNAcentral.
CGAAUGGACUGCAUUCUGAGGCACCUGCUCUAUUUCUGCCCAGGCCAGGAGCUGUGGAUCCAAGCACUGGGCAUGGCCACAGCGAACUUCCCUGAACAAGUAGUACUCUUCCAGCUGAUGAGUGCACUGGCAUUUAUUAUGGUCGGGCCAGUGCUGGAAGUGGAGAUGUCUAUAAGAUGAUUAUGAGGACAGGAUGGAACUCAUACUCUAAGAAAACAAAGAAGUCCAUGGAAACGUAUAUCAUGGGUAUCUUCAAAAACGACUUGCGUGGCGAGAUCUUCAAUGUGGCCAUCCUUGGCUACCUCAGACCCGAAAGAACUUUGCUUCUUUAGAGUCACUUAUUUCGGCAAUUCAAGGUGAUAUUAAGGAAGCUAAGAAACGCCUACAUUUACCAGAACAUUUGAAACUUAAAGAAGACCAUUUCUUCCAGGUUCCUAAAAGCAAAAUAAUGAACGGCCAC